GACGAACGCUGGCGGCAUGCCUAAUACAUGCAAGUCGAGCGGACUUGAUGAGAAGCUUGCUUCUCAGAUAGUUAGCGGCGGACGGGUGAGUAACACGUAGGCAACCUGCCCUCAAGCUUGGGACAACUACCGGAAACGGUAGCUAAUACCGAAUACUUGUUUUCUUCGCCUGAAGGGAACUGGAAAGACGGAGCAAUCUGUCACUUGGGGAUGGGCCUGCGGCGCAUUAGCUAGUUGGUGAGGUAACGGCUCACCAAGGCGACGAUGCGUAGCCGACCUGAGAGGGUGAUCGGCCACACUGGGACUGAGACACGGCCCAGACUCCUACGGGAGGCAGCAGUAGGGAAUCUUCCGCAAUGGGCGAAAGCCUGACGGAGCAAUGCCGCGUGAGUGAUGAAGGUUUUCGGAUCGUAAAGCUCUGUUGCCAGGGAAGAGCGCUUGGGAGAGUAACUGCUCUCAAGGUGACGGUACCUGAGAAGAAAGCCCCGGCUAACUACGUGCCAGCCGCCGCAGUAA
Molecule: ribosomal RNA, 516 nt
Filed under: uncultured bacterium
Lineage: Bacteria
Description: partial 16S ribosomal RNA
Rfam family: Bacterial small subunit ribosomal RNA
Source: RNAcentral